Pseudophryne corroboree (corroboree frog) is the source of this 728-nucleotide long non-coding RNA. RefSeq lists it as uncharacterized. The transcript has 3 exons. The record is from RefSeq and is a predicted model, not a curated record. Lineage: Eukaryota; Metazoa; Chordata; Amphibia; Anura; Myobatrachidae.
CAGGGGAGCAGAGCUGCGCUGCAAGGUUUCCCCGGUGACCUAUGGUGCUGGACCUGUGGUUGUUUGUGCUGAAACUGGCAGUGGGGUUUCCGGUGAUACCCCUGGUGUCUAUCGUGUCCUAGCAGGUGUAGUCAUGCCAGGAAGUGGACCAGGAGGCAGCAGCAGCAGGCCAGCAAGAGAGCUGGGUGGUGAUACAUAUACCUGCUAAGAGUAGAGGCAGUACAGAGGCGGGCCUGCCCCGGAGAUGGACACUUAAUUAAUGGCGCUCUGAGGAUAAGACCCUUCUCCUCAGCAAACCAGUGGUUAAAUCAGCAGCCAUUCGGAGGCAGCCAGAGAGACUGGCCAUUGUGACUGGUACCAGAGAAAAGAUCUGUGAUAAAACACCUUGCACCACCCUGUAUCAUCACUUACACUGCAACUGUAGCACUGAUAAAGUCCCAGUUUACAGGAUUUUUACGCUAUAUAGCCACUACAUCUUGACAGCAUAGUUGGAGCAGUUACAGGCAAGGAGCUACAAAGUAUCAAAUGUAAAGACUGUUUGUCUACAACUUAUGGAGGAAAUCUCUGGCCAUCACAACUCCGAGGAACAUAUAGAAGAGUAAGCGGCUGGGCUACUGUGUCUUAACUGCUGCUGCGUUGUCUACAACGUAUGGAGGAAAUCUCUGGCCAUCACAACUCCGAGGAACAUAUAGAAGAGUAAGCGGCUGGGCUACUGUGUCUUAACUGCU